Molecule: ribosomal RNA, 497 nt
Filed under: uncultured bacterium
Lineage: Bacteria
Description: partial 16S ribosomal RNA
Rfam family: Bacterial small subunit ribosomal RNA
Source: RNAcentral
GAUGAACGCUGGCGGCGUGCCUAAUACAUGCAAGUCGAGCGAACAGACGAGGAGCUUGCUCCUCUGACGUUAGCGGCGGACGGGUGAGUAACACGUGGAUAACCUACCUAUAAGUCUGGGAUAACUUCGGGAAACCGGAGCUAAUACCGGAUCAUAUAUUGAACCGCAUGGUUCAAUAGUGAAAGACGGUUUUGCUGUCACUUAUAGAUGGAUCCGCGCCGCAUUAGCUAGUUGGUAAGGUAACGGCUUACCAAGGCAACGAUGCGUAGCCGACCUGAGAGGGUGAUCGGCCACACUGGAACUGAGACACGGUCCAGACUCCUACGGGAGGCAGCAGUAGGGAAUCUUCCGCAAUGGGCGAAAGCCUGACGGAGCAACGCCGCGUGAGUGAUGAAGGUCUUCGGAUCGUAAAACUCUGUUAUUAGGGAAGAACAAAUGUGUAAGUAACUAUGCACGUCUUGACGGUACCUAAUCAGAAAGCCACGGCUAACUACGUG